CCGUAGGUGAACCUGCNGGAAGGAUCAUUUGCACAAUUAUUCACCCAACAUCACAUGCGAUCUUUUCCUCGACCUCACGUCACACCGCUGCAGCAAGUUGCUUUUUUGUUUGAGAGCAAAUGAAUGACACUUUCAACGGUGGAUGUCUCAGCUCGAGUUCCGAUGAAGAACGCAGCGAAGCGCGAUACGCAUGGCGAUGCGCGGAGAUCCGUGACUUGAAGUUUUUCGAAUGCAUUGCGCCUUGUGCCCGUGCAUAAGGCACAUCUGGUUCGGAGUCUUUUGAUUAUCUUUCGGAGUGUGCUAACCCCGAAAGCAAUGUGCCUUGCGCAUCACAAUUCCCAAUACUGGAUGUGGUUUGCUGAGAUAUUGGAACGGUGUGGCGUCUUUGAAUUAGAGAAAUGUAUUUCUUUUCAAAACCGACGUAUCUAGCACUCAGUGUCCAUUAGUGAUCAGCUUCUGAGGCGUUUUUUUCCAUGUCGUUGGACCUGAACUUGGAUUGGGUUACCCGCUGAAUUUAAGCAUAUCAAUAAGCGGAGGAA
Molecule: ribosomal RNA, 539 nt
Filed under: uncultured eukaryote
Lineage: Eukaryota
Description: eukaryotic LSU rRNA
Rfam family: 5.8S ribosomal RNA (bases 128-278)
Source: RNAcentral